RNAcentral lists this ribosomal RNA (1588 nucleotides) under Pseudaminobacter soli (ex Li et al. 2025). RNAcentral describes it as "bacterial LSU rRNA". It matches the Rfam family "Bacterial large subunit ribosomal RNA", at positions 1220 to 2925 of the family's 2925-position model. Lineage: Bacteria; Pseudomonadati; Pseudomonadota; Alphaproteobacteria; Hyphomicrobiales; Phyllobacteriaceae. The record is from RNAcentral.
UGCAAGCGGUAGCGGAGCGUUCCGUAAGCCGAUGAAGCCGUACCUGUGAGGGGCGGUGGAGGUAUCGGAAGUGCGAAUGCUGACAUGAGUAACGUAAGGGGUGUGAGAGACGCCCCCGCCGAAAGUCCAAGGGUUCCUGCUUAAAGUUAAUCUGAGCAGGGUUAGCCGGCCCCUAAGUCGAGGCAGACAUGCGUAGACGAUGGGAACCACGUUAAUAUUCGUGGGCCUGUGGGUAGUGACGGAUCAUGUGUGUUGUCAGGUCUUAUCGGAUUGAUCUGGCGGCGAAGUGGUCCCAGGAAAUAGCUCCCACUUAUAGACCGUACCCGAAACCGACACUGGUGGACUGGUAGAGUAUACCAAGGCGCUUGAGAGAACUAUGCUGAAGGAACUCGGCAAAUUGCACGCGUAACUUCGGAAGAAGCGUGACCCCUUUGCACGCAAGUGUGAGGGGGUGGCACAGACCAGGGGGUAGCGACUGUUUAUCAAAAACACAGGGCUCUGCGAAGUCGCAAGACGACGUAUAGGGUCUGACGCCUGCCCGGUGCUGGAAGGUUAAGAGGAGGGGUGCAAGCUCUGAAUCGAAGCCCCAGUAAACGGCGGCCGUAACUAUAACGGUCCUAAGGUAGCGAAAUUCCUUGUCGGGUAAGUUCCGACCUGCACGAAUGGCGUAACGACUUCCCCGCUGUCUCCAGCAUAGACUCAGUGAAAUUGAAUUCCCCGUGAAGAUGCGGGGUUCCUGCGGUUAGACGGAAAGACCCCGUGCACCUUUACUAUAGCUUUACAUUGGCAUUCGUAGUGGCAUGUGUAGGAUAGGUGGUAGGCUUUGAAGCCAGGGCGCCAGCCUUGGUGGAGCCACCCUUGAAAUACCACCCUUAUCUCUAUGGAUGUCUAACCGCGGCCCGUCAUCCGGGUCCGGGACAAUGUAUGGUGGGUAGUUUGACUGGGGCGGUCGCCUCCUAAAGAGUAACGGAGGCGCGCGAUGGUGGGCUCAGACCGGUCGGAAAUCGGUCGCUGAGUGCAAUGGCAUAAGCCUGCCUGACUGCGAGACUGACAAGUCGAGCAGAGACGAAAGUCGGUCAUAGUGAUCCGGUGGUCCCGUGUGGAAGGGCCAUCGCUCAACGGAUAAAAGGUACGCCGGGGAUAACAGGCUGAUGACCCCCAAGAGUCCAUAUCGACGGGGUUGUUUGGCACCUCGAUGUCGACUCAUCGCAUCCUGGGGCUGGAGCAGGUCCCAAGGGUAUGGCUGUUCGCCAUUUAAAGCGGUACGUGAGUUGGGUUCAGAACGUCGUGAGACAGUUCGGUCCCUAUCUGCCGUGGGUGUAGGAAUAUUGACAGGAUCUGUCCCUAGUACGAGAGGACCGGGAUGGACGUAUCUCUGGUGGACCUGUUGUGGCGCCAGCCGCAUUGCAGGGUAGCUAUAUACGGACGGGAUAACCGCUGAAGGCAUCUAAGCGGGAAACCCACCUGAAAACGAGUAUUCCCUGAGAGCCGUGGAAGACGACCACGUUGAUAGGCCGAGUGUGGAAGCGCAGCAAUGUGUGAAGCUUAUCGGUACUAAUAGCUCGAUUGGCUUGAUCGUUCUCAUUAU